AUCUGCGCCGUGGUCUCUUCAGAAGUCUUUUCCUUGCAGGUUUUCCGACUAAACUUCUGAAUGUAUUUCUCAUCUCUCUUAUGCGUGCUGCAGUGCUAUUCCCUUAGUUAUUCAAGAGUCUGCAGUUAGCGUGCCCAGAAAUGCUUUUUUAAUCGAUCAUCAUAAUUUCUUGUUACUUCCAGGAACUCGUUCACUGUUUCCAUUUACGGGGUCAACUGAAAUUCAUCUCCGAUGCUGGUCGGGGGGAGGGGGUGACCAAACACUGGUUCUGCUGGGGCAGGAGGCGUAUGUCACAGCACGUGAGAACUGGUACACACCAACCGCCAGCGAAAUACAUACCAGCGUCUGGAAUCUUAUUGAAGAGCUGCUACGUCAAACCGACUCCAGGGACCUCCAGACUACACAAGGUGCCAGCCAAAGUAAGUUUUCAAAGUUCUGUUAUCUUAACAGGUAGAGCUCAGCGCAUGACGCGUCUGAUUACAAGCCUGAGGAUCGAAUAUCAGGACGUAUUUAUCAAUAUCUUCUUUUACCUUACACUGUCUAAAAAGUACAGAUUUUUAAGGAAUGAAGACAUUAGUUCACAUUAUUAUUACUUCCGUGUGCUUAAUACGAGUUAAGUCGAAUGGAUUACAUUGCAGAAACGACUUAAUGCUUGAA
Molecule: long non-coding RNA, 657 nt
Organism: Zootermopsis nevadensis
Lineage: Eukaryota; Metazoa; Arthropoda; Insecta; Blattodea; Termopsidae
Source: RefSeq, a predicted model, not a curated record